AAUCAACGCUGGCGGCGUGCCUAACACAUGCAAGUCGAACGCGACUGGGGACUUCGGUUCCCAGUUGAGUGGCGAACGGGUGAGUAACACGUGGGUGACCUGCCCUCAGCUCUGGGAUAAGCCUGGGAAACUGGGUCUAAUACUGGAUAUGACUCCACGGUGCAUGUCGUGGGGUGGAAAGCCUUGUGCGGCUGAGGAUGGGCCCGCGGCCUAUCAGCUUGUUGGNGGGGUGAUGGCCUACCAAGGCGACGACGGGUAGCCGGCCUGAGAGGGCGACCGGCCACACUGGGACUGAGACACGGCCCAGACUCCUACGGGAGGCAGCAGUGGGGAAUCUUGCGCAAUGGGCGAAAGCCUGACGCAGCGACGCCGCGUGAGGGAUGACGG
Molecule: ribosomal RNA, 387 nt
Filed under: uncultured bacterium
Lineage: Bacteria
Description: bacterial SSU rRNA
Rfam family: Bacterial small subunit ribosomal RNA
Source: RNAcentral